AGUAAUGCAUGGGAAUCUAGCUUAUGGAGGGGGAUAACUACGGGAAACUGUAGCUAAUACCGCGUAGUAUCGGAAGAUGAAAGUGUGGGACCUUCGGGCCACAUGCCAUAGGAUGAGCCCAAGUGGGAUUAGGUAGUUGGUGAGGUAAAGGCUCACCAAGCCGACGAUCUCUAGCUGGUCUGAGAGGAUGACCAGCCACACUGGGACUGAGACACGGCCCAG
RNAcentral lists this ribosomal RNA (222 nucleotides) under uncultured bacterium. RNAcentral describes it as "partial 16S ribosomal RNA". It matches the Rfam family "Bacterial small subunit ribosomal RNA", at positions 109 to 334 of the family's 1533-position model. The record is from RNAcentral.